UACGUAGGGCGCAAGCGUUAUCCGGAAUUAUUGGGCGUAAAGAGCUCGUAGGCGGUUUGUCGCGUCUGCCGUGAAAGUCCGGGGCUCAACCCCGGAUCUGCGGUGGGUACGGGCAGACUUGAGUGCAGUAGGGGAGACUGGAAUUCCUGGUGUAGCGGUGAAAUGCGCAGAUAUCAGGAGGAACACCGAUGGCGAAGGCAGGUCUCUGGGCUGUAACUGACGCUGAGGCACGAAAGCGUGGGGAGCAAACAGG
Molecule: ribosomal RNA, 253 nt
Filed under: uncultured bacterium
Lineage: Bacteria
Description: partial 16S ribosomal RNA
Rfam family: Bacterial small subunit ribosomal RNA
Source: RNAcentral